RNAcentral lists this unclassified non-coding RNA (329 nucleotides) under soil metagenome. RNAcentral describes it as "partial contains 5.8S ribosomal RNA, internal transcribed spacer 2, and large subunit ribosomal RNA". The stretch from base 1 to 120 matches the Rfam family "5.8S ribosomal RNA", at positions 35 to 154 of the family's 154-position model. The record is from RNAcentral.
GAUGAAGAACGCAGCGAAAUGCGAUAAGUAGUGUGAAUUGCAGAAUUCAGUGAAUCAUCGAAUCUUUGAACGCACAUUGCGCCCCUUGGUAUCCCGAGGGGCAUGCCUGUUCGAGCGUCAUUUCACCACUCAAGCCUGGCUUGGUGUUGGGCGACGUCCUCUUUGGGGACGCGCCUCGAAACGCUCGGCGGCGUGGCACCGGCUUUAAGCGUAGCAGAAUCUUUCGCUUUGGAAGUCGGGGCCCCGUCUGCCGGAAGACCUGCUCGCAAGGUUGACCUCGGAUCAGGCAGGGAUACCCGCUGAACUUAAGCAUAUCAAUAAGAGGAGGA